This 2229-nucleotide ribosomal RNA is filed under the name human gut metagenome. Its description in RNAcentral is "bacterial LSU rRNA". It matches the Rfam family "Bacterial large subunit ribosomal RNA", at positions 14 to 2248 of the family's 2925-position model. The record is from RNAcentral.
AGGGCGUAUGGUGGAUGCCUAGGCAUUAGAAGACGAAGAAGGACGCGACAAACAGCGAAAUUGCCUCGGGGAGUUGUAAGUAAGCAUUGAUCCGGGGGUAUCCGAAUGAGGAAACUUACCAAGAAAGGUAUCCUAAAAUGAAUACAUAGUUUUAGUGAAGGAAACCCUGUGAACUGAAACAUCUUAGUAACAGGAGGAAAAGAAAGAAAAAUCGAUUGCCUUAGUAGUGGCGAGCGAAACGGCAAGAGCCCAAACCAAUCUACGGAUUGGGGUAGUAGGACACUUCGAAACGAGAAUAAGAGCUAAAGAUAGCUAAAUGAUUUGGGAAAGUCAGUCAAAGAAGGUGAAAACCCUGUAGGCGAAAUCUGAAGCACUCAGAAGUGAAUCCUGAGUACGGCGGGACACGAGAAAUCCUGUCGGAAUCAACGGGGACCAUCCCGUAAGGCUAAAUACUCUCUAAUGACCGAUAGUGAACAAGUACCGUGAGGGAAAGGUGAAAAGAACCCCGGGAGGGGAGUGAAAUAGAGAAUCUGAAACCAUAUGCUUACAAAAAGUUCGAGCCCGUUAAAGGGUGAGAGCGUGCCUUUUGCAGAAUGAGCCGGCGAGUUAUGGUAUUGUGCAAGGUUAAGUAGAAAAUACGGAGCCGAAGCGAAAGCGAGUCUUAAAAGGGCGAAAAAGUACAAUGCUGUAGACCCGAAACUGAGUGAUCUAGCCAUGAGCAGGUUGAAGUGUAGGUAACACUACAUGGAGGACCGAACCAGGGUACUAUGUAACGUGCUUGGAUGACUUGUGGUUAGCGGUGAAAUUCCAAUCGAACUCAGAGAUAGCUGGUUCUCCCCGAAAUAGGUUUAGGCCUAGCCUUGAAGAAUUUCCUCUGGAGGUAGAGCACUGAAUGUGGAAUGGCCGCGUCUAGCGGUACUGACUGCAAUCAACCUCCGAAUGCCAGAGUAGUUAGCUUCAGGAGUCAGUUUAUGGGUGAUAACGUCCAUAUGCGAGAGAAAAACAAUUCAGACCACCAGUUAAGGUCCCAAAAUAUAUGUUAAGUGGGAAAGGAUGUGGAGUUGCACGAACAGCUAGGAGGUUGGCUCAGAAGCAGCCAUCCUUUAAAGAGUGCGUAAUAGCUCACUAGUCGAGUGGCUCUGCGCCGAAAAUGUACCGGGGCUAAACAUAUUACCGAAACUGUGGAUUUAUGCGAUAGCAUAAGUGGUAGGGGAGCGUUCUAAGGGCGAUGAAGAUAGAUCGAGAGGACUAUUGGAGCGCUUAGAAGUGAGAAUGCCGGUGUGAGUAACGUAAGGUAGGUGAGAAUCCUACCCACUGAUUGACCAAGGAUUCCAGGGUCAAGUUCGUCUACCCUGGGUAAGUCAGGACCUAAGGCGAGGCUGAGAAGCGUAGUCGAUGGACAACAGGUUUAUAUUCCUGUACUAUUUAUAGGACUGAAGGAGUGACAAAGGAAGCUAGUAAGAGCCAUUUAAUGGAUUAUGGUCUAAGCACAAAGACUGAUACAUAGGAAAAUCCGUGAUAUCGAACGGUUGAAGUGUGAUGGUGAAGCAGUCUACGGACAGCGAAGUCUUAUGAGGCUAAACUUUUUAAAAAAGCUUCUAAAGAAAUGCUAUAAAUACCUGUACUAAGAACCAACGCAGGUGGUCAAGGAGAGAAUCCUAAGGUGAGCGAGAGAACUAUGGUUAAGGAACUCGGCACAAUGAUCCCGUAACUUCGGAAUAAGGGAAGGUCUUGAAAAAGACCCGCAGUGAAUAGGCCCAAGCGACUGUUUACCAAAAACACAGGUUUCUGCAAAAGCGUAAGCUGAAGUAUAGGAGCUGACGCCUGCCCAGUGCUGGAAGGUUAAGAUGAUUUGUAAGAUGGACGAAAGUCGAUAACAUCGAAGCAAUGAAUUGAAGCCCCAGUGAACGGCGGCGAUAACUAUAAUCGUCCAAAGGUAGCGAAAUUCCUUGUCAGGUAAGUUCUGACCCGCACGAAAGGCGUAACGAUUUGGGCACUGUCUCAACCAUAGACUCGGUGAAAUCUUAAUACCUGUGAAAAUGCAGGUUACCCGCGACAGGACGGAAAGACCCCAUGGAGCUUUACUGUAGCUUGAUAUUGAAAUCAGGUAGUUAAUGUAGAGGAUAGGUGGUAGACAAUGAAGUUAAGACGCUAGUCUUAAUGGAGUCGACCUUGGAAUACCACCCUUUGACUAUUUGAUUUCUAACUUGCACCCGUAAUCCGGGUGAA